Molecule: ribosomal RNA, 329 nt
Filed under: uncultured eukaryote
Lineage: Eukaryota
Description: partial 18S ribosomal RNA
Rfam family: Eukaryotic small subunit ribosomal RNA
Source: RNAcentral
CCCUUAGAUGUUCUGGGCCGCACGCGCGCUACACUGACGAUGGCAACGAGUUUUUCCUUCGCCGAAAGGUGUGGGUAAUCUUUUGAAACAUCGUCGUGCUGGGGAUAGAUCAUUGCAAUUUUUGAUCUUGAACGAGGAAUCCCUAGUAAGCGCGAGUCAUCAGCUCGCGUUGAUUACGUCCCUGCCCUUUGUACACACCGCCCGUCGCUACUACCGAUUGAAUGGUUUAGUGAGGACUCCUGAUUGGCGCCGCCGCCCCGGCAACGGAGCAGCGGACUGCCGAAAAGUUGUUCAAACUUGAUCAUUUAGAGGAAGUAAAAGUCGUAACA